This 234-nucleotide ribosomal RNA is filed under the name Pelobates cultripes (western spadefoot toad). RNAcentral describes it as "SSU_rRNA_microsporidia". It matches the Rfam family "Eukaryotic small subunit ribosomal RNA", at positions 234 to 473 of the family's 1831-position model. The record is from RNAcentral. Lineage: Eukaryota; Metazoa; Chordata; Amphibia; Anura; Pelobatidae.
UCACCCAGCUCGUCAUGCUAGAGCACUUUUUCAAUGUGCUCCCCAAAGAGAAGGCGACAGCACAUUCGUAUGUCAAUCCAUAUCAAAUUUCGAUGACAGCGCCUACCAUGUGACCACGGGUAACGGGGAAUCAGGGUUCGAUUCCAUACAGGGACCCUGACAAACUGCUACCACAUGCAAGGAAGGCAGCAGGUGCGCAAAUGACCCACUCCCAAUGCGGGAAGGUAGGGACGA